GUAGGGAAUAUUGGGCAAUGGAAGGAAUUCUGACCCAGCCAUGCCGCGUGCAGGAAUACAGUCCUAUGGACUUUAAACUGCUUUUAUUAUAGAGUAACCUGGGGGACGUGUCCCCCACUGCAAGUAUAUAAUGAAUAAGCAUCGGCUAACUCCGUGCCAGCAGCCGCGGUAAUACGGGGGAUGCAAGCGUUAUCCGGCUUUAUUGGGUUUAAAGGGUGCGCAGGCUGAUCGGUAAGUCAUGGGUGAAAAGUCACUGCUUAACAGUGAUCGUGCCUAGGAUACUGCCGGACUAGAGUUUAAGAGGUGUAACUGGAAUGUGAUGUGUAGCGGUGAAAUGCUUAGAUAUGUCACAGAACGCCAAUCGUGAAGACAGGUUACAAACUUAAUACUGACGCUCAUGCACGAAAGCGUGGGGAUCAAACAGGAUUAGAAACCCCUGUAGUCC
Molecule: ribosomal RNA, 445 nt
Filed under: uncultured bacterium
Lineage: Bacteria
Description: partial 16S ribosomal RNA
Rfam family: Bacterial small subunit ribosomal RNA
Source: RNAcentral